ACGUAGGGUGCCAGCGUUGUUCGGAAUCACUGGGCGUAAAGGGCGUGUAGGCGGAUUGUUAAGUCAGGUGUGAAAUCCCGCAGCCUAACUGCGGAACUGCGCUUGAUACUGGCAAUCUUGAGUACGAUAGAGGGUGACAGAAUUCCUAGUGUAGUAGUGAAAUACGUAGAGAUUAGGAGGAAUACCGGAGGCGAAGGCGGUCACCUGGGUCUGUACUGACUCUAAGGCGCGAAAGCGUGGGGAGCAAACAG
RNAcentral lists this ribosomal RNA (251 nucleotides) under uncultured prokaryote. RNAcentral describes it as "partial 16S rRNA". It matches the Rfam family "Bacterial small subunit ribosomal RNA", at positions 525 to 775 of the family's 1533-position model. The record is from RNAcentral.